CACUCCUGCGGGAGGCAGCAGUGGGGAAUUUUGGACAAUGGGGGCAACCCUGAUCCAGCAAUGCCGCGUGAGUGAAGAAGGCCUUCGGGUUGUAAAGCUCUUUUGUCAGGGAAGAAACGGUAGUAGCGAAUAACUAUUACUAAUGACGGUACCUGAAGAAUAAGCACCGGCUAACUACGUGCCAGCAGCCGCGGUAAUACGUAGGGUGCAAGCGUUAAUCGGAAUUACUGGGCGUAAAGCGUGCGCAGGCGGUUGUGUAAGUCAGAUGUGAAAUCCCCGGGCUCAACCUGGGAAUUGCAUUUGAGACUGCACGGCUAGAGUGUGUCAGAGGGGGCUAGAAUUCCACGUGUAGCAGUGAAAUGCGUAGAUAUGUGGAGGAAUACCGAUGGCGAAGGCAGCCCCCUGGGAUAACACUGACGCUCAUGCACGAAAGCGUGGGGAGCAAACAGGAUUAGAAACCCUAGUAGUCCCAUGA
RNAcentral lists this ribosomal RNA (475 nucleotides) under uncultured organism. Its description in RNAcentral is "partial 16S ribosomal RNA". It matches the Rfam family "Bacterial small subunit ribosomal RNA", at positions 334 to 800 of the family's 1533-position model. The record is from RNAcentral.